AAUGUGAGCAGGAGCAGAAGCAGUGCUGGCCACCAUUUGCUGAGCCCCUGAGAGCCCACUGUGUGCCAGGAACCUGACCUACAUUCUCCACCGCCCUGACAGUACACUGCUGGAGUGCAAUGGCGCGAUUCUCGGCUCACUGCAACCUCCGCCUCCCGGGUUCAAGCGAUUCUCCUGCCUCAGCCUUCUGAGUAGCUGGGAUUACAGGAUUGAAACUUUGCUGCCUGGUAUCCAGAACGUGCCCUGAAACACAGUAGGGGGAAUAUUCCACUUUCAAGCUCUUUCUUCUCAACUUCACCUGUGCCUCAGCUCCUGGCUUCAGACUUGCAUGCCUCAGUUUCCCCCAGGACUCCAGUUAACAGGGAUUUUGUGUCAACAGCGUCGUUUUCUGACUCUUGCUAACACUUGGGUGUUUGCUAGUUAACAGGCACUAAGUCCUUCCCAUCUACUACCUCAAGUGAAUCCUUUCCACAGCCCAGUGAGGUGGGUACAAUUAUCAUCAUCCCCACUUUACAGAUGAGGAAACCAACAGCAGAAAUAACCAGCCCAGUCUCCAAGCACAGUCAGUAAGUGGCAGGGGUGUGGCUGAAACUGAGAUGGCUGGUUCUCAGGAGCCCCCACUCCAGACUACUGUUAGAAGCAGCACGGUGCUCCUAUCUGCCUCUCAGAAGGUAGCCUCCCCACUUUGUGGAAUGUGGACAAGCCCUUGGAACUUGUUCUCCCACGUCCCCAUCACACUCCAAAUGGCUUUUCAAAGUAUUUCUUCCAGAUACAUAUGGUGUUUCUUCCAAACUAGACAUGUUUGGGAGAACAAAAUGUCCUCCAUUUUGUUACACAUUUAACAGAAAGCAGCUUAACUGGCCAGGCAUGGUGGCUCACCUCUGUAGUCCCAGCGACUCAGGUGGCUGAGGCUUGCUUGAGCCCAGGAAUUCCAGGCUGCAGGGAGCUCUGACCGUGCCACUGCACUCCAGCCUGUGUGACAGCAAAACCUUGUCUAAGAAAGAAAAGGAAAGAAAAGAAGGGAAGGAAGGAAGGAAGAAUGUGCCAGAGGCAUGUGAACCAGAGCAACUCUGUCUUGAACAGGAGCUGGGUAAAAUGAGGCUGAAACUUACUGGGCUGCAUUCCCAGACGGUUAAGGCAUUGUAAGUCACAGGAUGAAAUAGGAGGUCAGCACAAAAUACAGGUCAUAAAGACCUUGCUGAUAAAACAGAUUGCAGUAAAGGAGCCGACCAAAACUCACCAAAACCAAAAUGGCCACGUGAAGAAGGUCAUCUUCACCGCUACACUCCCAGCAGUGCCAUGACAGUUUACAAAUGCCAUGGCAACGUCAGGAAUUUACCCUCUAUGGUCUAAAAGGGGAGACUUGAAUAAUCCUCCCUGCCUCAUUUAGCAUAUCAUCAAGACAUAACCAUAAAAAUGGCCAACUAGCAGCCCUCUGGGCUGCUCUGUCUAUGGAGUAAUCUUUUUUUUUGAGAUGGAAUUUCACUCUUGUUGCCCAGGCUGGAGUGCAAUGGCGUGAUAUUGGCUCACCACAACCUCCGCCUCCCAGGUUCAAGCGAUUCUCCUGCCUCAGCUUCCCAAGUAGCUAAGGUUACAGGCAUGUGCCACCAUGCCCAGCUAAUUUUUUAUUUUUAGUAGAGACAGGGUUUCUCCCUGUUGGUCAGGCUGGUCUUGAACUCUCCUUUUUUUUUUUUUUUUUUUUUUUUUUGAGACAGAGUCUUGCUCUGUCACCCAGGCUGGAGUGCAGUGGUGCGAUCUCGGCUCACUGCAACCUCCGCCUCCCAGGUUCAAGCAAUUCUUCUGCCUCAGCCUCCCGAGUAGCUGGGACUACAGGCACCUGCCAACACGCCCGGCUAAUUUUUUGUAUUUUUAGUGGAGAUGGGGUUUCACCGUGUUAGCCAGGAUGGUCUCGAUCUCCUGACCUCGUGAGCCACCCGCCUCGGCCUCCCAAAGUGCUGGGAUUACAGGCGUGAGCCACCGCGCCCGGCCCUGGUCUUGAACUCUCAACCUCAGGUGAUCCGCCAGCCUCGGCCUCCCAAAGUGCUAUUACAGGCGUGAGCCACUGCACCCGGCUGCCAUUCUUUUAUUCCUUUACUUUCUUAAUAAACUUGCUUUCACUUUG
Molecule: long non-coding RNA, 2122 nt
Organism: Macaca mulatta (Rhesus monkey)
Lineage: Eukaryota; Metazoa; Chordata; Mammalia; Primates; Cercopithecidae
Source: Ensembl